RNAcentral lists this unclassified non-coding RNA (372 nucleotides) under soil metagenome. RNAcentral describes it as "partial contains 5.8S ribosomal RNA, internal transcribed spacer 2, and large subunit ribosomal RNA". The stretch from base 1 to 120 matches the Rfam family "5.8S ribosomal RNA", at positions 35 to 154 of the family's 154-position model. The record is from RNAcentral.
GAUGAAGAACGUAGCGAAAUGCGAUAAGUAAUGUGAAUUGCAGAAUUCAGUGAAUCAUCGAAUCUUUGAACGCACAUUGCGCCCGCUGGUAUUCCGGCGGGCAUGCCUGUUCGAGCGUCAUUAUCACCCCUCAAGCCCUCGGCUUGGUGUUGGACGGUUUGGUGGAGGCCCCCUCGGGGGCUCCUGCCCCUCCCAAAGACAAUGACGGCGGCCUCGUUGGACCCCCGGUACACUGAGUUCUUCACGGGACACGUAUCGGACACAUGGGUUUACGGGACACGGUCUGCCUCCCCUCAGGGAGAAUCUUUCUAAGGUUGACCUCGGAUCAGGUAGGGAUACCCGCUGAACUUAAGCAUAUCAAUAAGCGGAGGA